GACGUAGGGGGCGAGCGUUGUCCGGAUUUAUUGGGCGUAAAGAGCGUGUAGGCGGCCAGACAAGUCUGCUGUGAAAACUCGAGGCUCAACCUCGAGCUGUCGGUGGAAACUGUCUGGCUAGAGUCCGGAAGAGGAGAGUGGAAUUCCUGGUGUAGCGGUGAAAUGCGCAGAUAUCAGGAAGAACACCUAUGGCGAAGGCAGCUCUCUGGGACGGUACUGACGCUGAGACGCGAAAGCGUGGGGAGCGAACAGG
Molecule: ribosomal RNA, 253 nt
Filed under: uncultured bacterium
Lineage: Bacteria
Description: partial 16S ribosomal RNA
Rfam family: Bacterial small subunit ribosomal RNA
Source: RNAcentral